UACGAAGGGGGCUAGCGUUGCUCGGAAUGACUGGGCGUAAAGGGCGCGUAGGCGGUUUGUACAGUCAGAUGUGAAAUUCCCGGGCUCAACCUGGGGGCUGCAUUUGAUACGUGCGGACUUGAGUGGGGAAGAGGGUCGUGGAAUUCCCAGUGUAGAGGUGAAAUUCGUAGAUAUUGGGAAGAACACCGGUGGCGAAGGCGGCGACCUGGUCCUUGACUGACGCUGAGGCGCGACAGCGUGGGGAGCAAACAGG
Molecule: ribosomal RNA, 253 nt
Filed under: uncultured bacterium
Lineage: Bacteria
Description: partial 16S ribosomal RNA
Rfam family: Bacterial small subunit ribosomal RNA
Source: RNAcentral